CAGCAGCCGCGGGAAUACGAAGGGUGCAAGCGUUACUCGGAAUUACUGGGCGUAAAGCGCACGCAGGCGGUCUGUCAAGUCAGAUGUGAAAUCCCCGGGCUUAACCUGGGAACUGCAUUUGAAACUGGCAGGCUAGAGUCUUGUAGAGGGGGGUAGGAUUCCAGGUGUAGCGGUGAAAUGCGUAGAGAUCUGGAGGAAUACCGGUGGCGAAGGCGGCCCCCUGGACAAAGACUGACGCUCAGGUGCGAAAGCGUGGGGAGCAAACAGGAUUAGAUACCCGUGUAGUCCCUGUCUCUUAUAA
This 301-nucleotide ribosomal RNA is filed under the name uncultured bacterium. RNAcentral describes it as "partial 16S ribosomal RNA". It matches the Rfam family "Bacterial small subunit ribosomal RNA", at positions 509 to 809 of the family's 1533-position model. The record is from RNAcentral.